AACGAACGCUGGCGGCAUGCCUAACACAUGCAAGUCGAACGAGACCUUCGGGUCUAGCGGCGCACGGGUGCGUAACGCGUGGGAACCUGCCCUUAGGUUCGGAAUAACUCCCCGAAAGGGGUGCUAAUACCGGAUAAUGUCUUCGGACCAAAGAUUUAUCGCCUUUGGAUGGGCCCGCGUUGGAUUAGCUAGUUGGUAGGGUAAAAGCCUACCAAGGCGACGAUCCAUAGCUGGUCUGAGAGGAUGAUCAGCCACACUGGGACUGAGACACGGCCCAGACUCCUACGGGAGGCAGCAGUGGGGAAUAUUGGACAAUGGGCGAAAGCCUGAUCCAGCAAUGCCGCGUGAGUGAUGAAGGCCUUAGGGUUGUAAAGCCCUUUUACCCGGGAUGAUAAUGACAGUACCGGGAGAAUAAGCUCCGGCUAACUCCGUG
Molecule: ribosomal RNA, 433 nt
Filed under: uncultured bacterium
Lineage: Bacteria
Description: partial 16S ribosomal RNA
Rfam family: Bacterial small subunit ribosomal RNA
Source: RNAcentral